This 253-nucleotide ribosomal RNA is filed under the name uncultured bacterium. Its description in RNAcentral is "partial 16S ribosomal RNA". It matches the Rfam family "Bacterial small subunit ribosomal RNA", at positions 524 to 776 of the family's 1533-position model. The record is from RNAcentral.
UACGUAGGGGGCAAGCGUUGUCCGGAUUUAUUGGGCGUAAAGAGCGUGUAGGCGGCCAAGCAGGUCCGCUGUGAAAACUCGAGGCUCAACCUCGAGACGUCGGUGGAAACCGUUUGGCUAGAGUCCGGAAGAGGAGAGUGGAAUUCCCGGUGUAGCGGUGAAAUGCGCAGAUAUCGGGAAGAACAUCCGUGGCGAAGGCGGCUCUCUGGGACGGUACUGACGCUGAGACGCGAAAGCGUGGGGAGCGAACAGG